AUACNUGCAAGUCGUGCGGACCUUUUAAAAGCUUGCUUUUAAAAGGUUAGCGGCGGACGGGUGAGUAACACGUGGGCAACCUGCCUGUAAGACUGGGAUAACGCCGGGAAACCGGGGCUAAUACCAGAUAGUUUUUUCUUCCGCAUGGAGGAAAAAGGAAAGGCGGCUUCGGCUGCCACUUACAGAUGGGCCCGCGGCGCAUUAGCUAGUUGGCGGGGUAACGGCCCACCAAGGCAACGAUGCGUAGCCGACCUGAGAGGGUGAUCGGCCACAUUGGGACUGAGACACGGCCCAAACUCCUACGGGAGGCAGCAGUAGGGAAUCUUCCGCAAUGGACGAAAGUCUGACGGAGCAACGCCGCGUGAGUGAAGAAGGCCUUCGGGUCGUAAAACUCUGUUGCCGGGGAAGAACAAGUGCCGUUCGAACAGGGCGGCGCCUUGACGGUACCCGGCCAGAAAGCCACGGCUAACUAC
RNAcentral lists this ribosomal RNA (473 nucleotides) under uncultured bacterium. Its description in RNAcentral is "bacterial SSU rRNA". It matches the Rfam family "Bacterial small subunit ribosomal RNA", at positions 51 to 504 of the family's 1533-position model. The record is from RNAcentral.